CCUGCGGAAGGAUCAUUACCGAGUUCGUGGGCGUUCUAACCGGACCCCAAACUCCCACCCCAUGUGUACCUGCACCUCGUUGCUUUGGCGGGCCUGCGCGCCCUGAAAAAGCGCGCUGCCGGCCCUGCUGGCCCGUGCCCGCCAGAGGACCUUCAAACUCCUGUUGUCAUCAGUGCCGUCUGAGUGUAAAACUUAAUACGUUUAAAACUUUCAACAACGGAUCUCUUGGUUCUGGCAUCGAUGAAGAACGCAGCGAAAUGCGAUAAGUAAUGUGAAUUGCAGAAUUCAGUGAAUCAUCGAAUCUUUGAACGCACAUUGCGCCCUUUGGUAUUCCGAAGGGCAUGCCUGUUCGAGCGUCAUUACACACCUCAAGCUCUGCUUGGUAUUGGGCCCUCGUCCGUCAGGGACGGGCCUCAAAACCCUCGGCGGCGGUGCCCGGCUUUGAGCGUAGUAGAACUUCCUUUCUCGCUCUGAAAGCCCGUGGCGCCCGCUUGCCGGACGACCCCCCAAUCUUUCUUUCAAGGUUGACCUCGGAUCAGGUAGGGAUACCCGCUGAACUUAAGCAUAUCA
This 570-nucleotide ribosomal RNA is filed under the name Spissiomyces ramosus. RNAcentral describes it as "eukaryotic LSU rRNA". The stretch from base 206 to 359 matches the Rfam family "5.8S ribosomal RNA". Lineage: Eukaryota; Fungi; Ascomycota; Dothideomycetes. The record is from RNAcentral.